UACGGGAGGCAGCAGUGGGGAAUAUUGCACAAUGGGCGCAAGCCUGAUGCAGCGACGCCGCGUGGGGGAUGACGGCCUUCGGGUUGUAAACUCCUUUCGCUAGGGACGAAGCUUUUUGUGACGGUACCUAGAUAAGAAGCACCGGCUAACUACGUGCCAGCAGCCGCGGUAAUACGUAGGGUGCGAGCGUUGUCCGGAAUUACUGGGCGUAAAGGGCUCGUAGGUGGUUUGUCGCGUCGUCUGUGAAAUUCCGGGGCUUAACUCCGGGCGUGCAGGCGAUACGGGCAUAACUUGAGUACUGUAGGGGUAACUGGAAUUCCUGGUGUAGCGGUGAAAUGCGCAGAUAUCAGGAGGAACACCGAUGGCGAAGGCAGGUUACUGGGCAGUUACUGACGCUGAGGAGCGAAAGCAUGGGUAGCGAACAGGAUUAGAUACCCUGGUAGUCCAUGCCGUAAACGGUGGGCGCUAGGUGUGAGGGUCUUUUCACGACUUUCGUGCCGUAGCUAACGCAUUAAGCGCCCCGCCUGGG
RNAcentral lists this ribosomal RNA (529 nucleotides) under uncultured bacterium. Its description in RNAcentral is "bacterial SSU rRNA". It matches the Rfam family "Bacterial small subunit ribosomal RNA", at positions 340 to 877 of the family's 1533-position model. The record is from RNAcentral.